GAUGAACGCUGGCGGCGUGCCUAAUACAUGCAAGUCGAGCGAACAGAUGAGGAGCUUGCUCCUCUGACGUUAGCGGCGGACGGGUGAGUAACACGUGGAUAACCUACCUAUAAGACUGGGAUAACUUCGGGAAACCGGAGCUAAUACCGGAUAAUAUAUUGAACCGCAUGGUUCAAUAGUGAAAGACGGUUUUGCUGUCACUUAUAGAUGGAUCCGCGCCGCAUUAGCUAGUUGGUAAGGUAACGGCUUACCAAGGCAACGAUGCGUAGCCGACCUGAGAGGGUGAUCGGCCACACUGGAACUGAGACACGGUCCAGACUCCUACGGGAGGCAGCAGUAGGGAAUCUUCCGCAAUGGGAGAAAGCCUGACGGAGCAACGCCGCGUGAGUGAUGAAGGUCUUCGGAUCGUAAAACUCUGCUAUUAGGGAAGAACAAAUGUGUAAGUAACUAUGCACGUCUUGACGGUACCUAAUCAGAAAGCCACGGCUAACUACGUG
Molecule: ribosomal RNA, 497 nt
Filed under: uncultured bacterium
Lineage: Bacteria
Description: partial 16S ribosomal RNA
Rfam family: Bacterial small subunit ribosomal RNA
Source: RNAcentral